CCUACGGGUGGCAGCAGUCGAGAAUCAUUCACAAUGGGGGAAACCCUGAUGGUGCGACGCCGCGUGGGUGCAUGAAGGUCUUCGGAUUUUAAGCCCCUGUCAUGUGGGAGCAAAUUGAAAAGAUAGUACCACAAGAGGAAGAGACGGCUAACUCUGUGCCAGCAGCCGCGGUAAUACCGAGGUCUCAAGCGUUUUUCGGAAUCACUGGGCGUAAAGGGUGCGUAGGCUGUUUCGUAAGUCGUGUGUGAAAGGCGCGGUCUCAACCCGCGUACGGCACAUGAUACUGCGAGACUAGAGUGAUGGAGGGGGAACCGGAAUUCUAGGUGUAGCAGUGAAAUGCGUAGAUA
Molecule: ribosomal RNA, 347 nt
Filed under: uncultured bacterium
Lineage: Bacteria
Description: partial 16S ribosomal RNA
Rfam family: Bacterial small subunit ribosomal RNA
Source: RNAcentral